GUUAAACGCAAAGGUAACGCGGCACACGCACGAGCAAGCAGCAGGUUUUUGUGUGUGUGUCUGUUUUUUUUUUUACUGUAAGCGCUCGGAGUUUCCCGCGAAUGCAAGAGGAACCCGGCGUCUCGAGCAGAAUGAAUGGUUAUCAAGCCACCAGAAACCGCGUUAGAGCGAAGGAAGCUGUUAAAAGAUGCAGCGCCGGGAGUCUUUUAAAGCCUGGUUCUUCUGGAGACUUGGCGGAGCUCAACCUCGGAAGUCAGAGCGCUAUGGGCCGAAGACGACCGAUAAAGGUCCAGACAUGAAGGAGACAGCGUCUUGUCUGUGGCAUCUCACAAUGAGAAGAGCUUUCAGCGUGUCGUGAGUUUCCAAAGUUGGUUCAGGAGAUACACUGGAUUAGGUGGGAUGCCAAAUCACUCCUGGCGACUGGUGAGAUGAGUUUAAAUGUUCAGAUCAUAGUUCACCUUAAAAUGACACUUCUGUCAUCAUUCAAGUUGUUCCAACCUUGUAUGAGUUUUUCUUUCUUCUGUUGAACACAAAUGAAGAUAUUUCAAAGAGUGUUGGUGACCAAAUGUUUUCUAGUCUCCAUUGACUUUCAUGGUAUGGAGAACAAAAAUACUAUGGAAGUCAAAGACCACCAGUAACUGUUUUGGUACCAACAAAUUAAUUAAUGUUUGGAACAAUAUAUGGAUGAAUAAAAGUUGACAGAAGUUUCAUUUUUAUUCCUUUAAAGGUGCUUUCAUUACAUUUUCCCCUUUAAACAAACAGAAAUACUUCAAAAUAAAUAGUACUAGUGAUUUUAAAAGUCAUAUCAGUAGCCCGAUAAAAGAUGUUUUAUUUUACACAAGAGUGGGUUGUCUUAUGAAGGCCAUCAUUUUAAGAUGUUAUCGAGGUGAAAACUAUUAAUUUGAAUUAUCAUAUUAUUGUAAACUUUUGCUUGCUGAAUAUAUCAAUCACAGUGUGAAAAUUUGCCUUUCUACAAUCUAACUGAAUGCUUUGCAUCCACACCAUCUAGAUGUCAGUAUGUCAUGUUCUAAAUUGUAACCAGCAUGAACCAAAAAUUUACUGAACACACCUUCAAAGUAUUAGAUUUUCCCUCAUCUUUUGAAUAGACUUUUAAGAUAAUAGUUCUUAUAAUGGAUCGUUUUCAUUAUUUAUUGAAUAAUAACAUCAGUUCUCUUUGUUGUUUCCUUUUCUUGCUUUCUCUGUCUGUCUGUUUUGCCUUCAUUUGUAUUAAGGCCAGAUGUGCGAUCUAAGACUUGUGGAUACUAAAUACCAAAUUUUUCAUUGGCAAGACUGUUUGAUUAACCAGUCUUAAUCUUAAAUCACCAGUGACGUUUUGUAUGUUCAUUGUGUUUUAAUCACUUGUAUAUUCAUUUAGCAACAACAUUUUUAUUGUAUUGUAUUCAUCUGGAAGUAAUGUGGGGCAGGACUUGAUUUAAUAUCAAUGAACUGUUGAAUGUUAUUGGUCGAUAUUUCGGCCCCGCCCAUAUGGCAUUGGUUACAUCACCCAAAAAAGCAAAACGCUUCAGCUAACUGUAACAUAUCAACUGAAGAUUAUGAAAAUGGCAUCCAUUUUCAAUAUAAAAUGGAUAUGAAAACAAAAUUUGGAUUUUUUUAUUUUAUUUUUGGAGCUAAUAAAUAAGACACAAUAACACAAAGGGCAUUCACACAGAAAAAUAAAUACAGUCCAUUUUGAUUUCAGGUUGUGUUUAAAGGCCUGUAAAUGUUUAAAUAUCAAAAGGUCACAUAAGUUUGAGAGCACAAUUCAUUGCGUUGUAUUUUGGGAGUAGGUGACCUGUGCUAUGCUCUUCCAGCAUAGAAAGGUGGGAUGCACCCGCCCGCUGCUUGCCUUUCUCCAAGCCGACCUCUGCGCAGACUGUCAAGUCGACUCACCAUCAGGCCACCAUUUGCCUCAGUGAACAUUCAACGCUGUCGGUGAGUUUGAGCUAAAUAGAAAAAAACCAUCGACCGUUGACUGUACCCUGCGGCUGAGCCCUGCCGAGCCUUGUCUCUCCCCACCGCCGGCAAAGACGAAUUUCAGCAUGGACUCCUGGAGACACAGCGAUUUUGUCUUCCAACGCUACCGGCAGCCGCCACUGAAAAGUUCGACUUUGAAAACCACAACAAAGGUCACAAUCAACAUUCAUUGCUGUCGGUGGGUUGGACUGUUAAAGAAAGCUCACUGAACAAUGAAUGCAACUGUGUCCCAGAUUUCCUUCUCGCAAAGUGGCAUCGGAGAUUAAUAUUAACUGACAGGGCUGGAUGCACUCAUUUGCUCUUCUCACUUGGGUUUGUUUGUGGCUCUUCGUGGCAAAGACGCAAGUGGACUGAGAACACCAUGUCAAAGGGCCCUUUAAGGCCAAUGAAUGUUUCCUUUGUGUAAUAAAUAAAGACAAGACCUAUCCAAA
Molecule: long non-coding RNA, 2405 nt
Organism: Carassius auratus (goldfish)
Lineage: Eukaryota; Metazoa; Chordata; Actinopteri; Cypriniformes; Cyprinidae
Exons: 4
Source: RefSeq, a predicted model, not a curated record